CCCUUAGAUGUUCUGGGCCGCACGCGCGCUACACUGAUGCAUUCAACGAGCCUAUCCUUGACCGACAGGUCCGGGUAAUCUUUGAAUCUGCAUCGUGACGGGGAUAGAUUAUUGCAAUUAUUAAUCUUCAACGAGGAAUGCCUAGUAGGCGCAAGUCAUCAGCUUGCGUCGAUUACGUCCCUGCCCUUUGUACACACCGCCCGUCGCUCCUACCGAUUGAGCGAUCCGGUGAAUGUUUUGGACUGGCGUCAGAAGCGGUUCGCUCCUGACACUACGAAAUUUUGUAAACCUUAUCGCUUAGAGGAAGGAAAAGUCGUAACA
RNAcentral lists this ribosomal RNA (321 nucleotides) under uncultured eukaryote. Its description in RNAcentral is "partial 18S ribosomal RNA". It matches the Rfam family "Eukaryotic small subunit ribosomal RNA", at positions 1470 to 1796 of the family's 1831-position model. The record is from RNAcentral.